CCUGAGGAACAUUGCCCCAGUCUUCCUCUUUUUUGUACAUGGGUUCCUACCACAGCAUGGCUUGAUGAGUGGUAUAUAGGUCUGUGCCCAGGAUCUGAACCUGUGAACCCCGGGCCGCUGAACUGGAACAUAGCAAACUUCAGGUCUAAUAGGAAAGCUGGCUGGGAAUCAGGACACACAAGUUCUGUGUCUUCAUUUGGAACUCUGAAUAAUUCCCUCCUUUCUAGGUCUUCAGCUACCCCUGCUUCUCAGCAACCUUCAUAGUAAAAUUCCUCAGGAAGAGUCAUGUAUACCAUUGGUGCUCAAAGUGUGGUAUGGAGUUCAGGAGUUGGUGGAGCCUAAACUCUUCAUAAUAACACUAGGACAUUACUUGCCUUUUUCACUUUCAUUUUCUCCUAAGUGUAUAGUGGAGUUCUCCAGAAGUUACAUGACGAGUGACAUGGCACCAGGUUACAGAGCAGAAGCAAAUACAAGAGUCCAGCUAUUACGGAAGAUAUUAGAGAGAUUUGCAAAAAUAUAAAACAAUGUCACUCACUAAAUAUUUUUUAUUUUGAAGUUAUUUCUCAUAAAUUAUGAUACUUAUGUUAACAUGCAACCGAUUUAUUAUUCUUCACUUGAAAGAAACAUAUAAAACAUUUCUCAGCUUCAAUUUCUAAUACCACAAAUAUCCACAGAUAACACCCCAAACAAAAGCUCUCUGAGUCCUCAAUUUCACGAGUGUAACGGGGCCUUCAGACCAAAAACUUUGAGAAUCAUUGGUCUGUUCUCUCACCGUCUCCAAUUCUUCUCCUUGCAUUCCCUCUCCAACACACUCUAGUUAGGGCUUUCCCCCAUUAUGUGCCACCAAAAUUGCUAUGAGCACUAAAGACUUCCCACCUGCUAACUCCAAUGGUUAAUUCUCAGUGCUCCUCUCACUCAACCUACUGGCUCACGUGCUGUGGCUGAUUACUUCCCCCUCCAGGUGUCUUUUUGUCACCAGGCUUCCAGGACACCAUACCCAGGUCCCCUAUCUCUCUGGCUCCUCUCUUUCUCCCCAUUCUCAAUGCUGGAGGGCCCAGAGCUGCAUCAUCCUUUGAAAUCUUCUCUGUGCCCACUCCAGCACCUUGGCCGUCUCUAAAUUUGUAGCUCGGGACCAGAUCUUGCCCCUGAACUCCACCCUUCCCAUCACCUACUCCACCUCUGGACUUGGAUUCUAAACAGGCAUUUCAAAUUUUCAGAUGACUAAAACCUAACUUUUUUUUCCAGUCAAACCUGUUCCUCUCAACGUCCUCCCCAUCUCAUUUGAUGAACUCUACCCUUCCAAUGGCUUCCAAGGCCAAAACCUCACAGCCAUCCUUAAUUCCCUUCUCAUAACUUACUUUCAAUCCAGCAGGAAAUCCUGCUGCCUGACUUCAAAAUUAACCCCAAACCCAAUCACCAGCUGCCCUGCUCCAUUGCUCAAAGCCCUCAUUCUCUCUCCCUCGGACUAGUUCAGUAGCCUCCCACCUUAUCCCCUCACUUGCCCCCCUGUAGUUAACAUAGCAGUCACAGUGAUCCUUUCAGAGGAUCAGAUACUACACAGCUGAGAACACACCAAUGGCUUUCCAUCUGACCCAAGAAUAAAAGCCAAAAUGCUUCCAAUGGCAUGCAAGGCCUACUCUAGGUGUCUGUCAAUUACUCUUCCAGCCUCUUUCCCUACAAUCUUCUCCCCACUCACUCUAUCCCGCCUUCAAGCCUUUAUACUGGCUGUCCCCUCUGUCUGGGACGCUUUCUCCAGAUCCUCAUGACUUUACCCCCUCCACUCCUCUUUGCUCAAAUGUCACUGUGUCAAGGAGAUCCACCCUGAUCUCUUCCCCCACUUCCCAGCCUUCUGAUCUCCCUUAUCCUGCUCUACAUUCCUAGAGCGCUUCUAACACAUUGCUUCUGUUUAUGUCUGUCUCUCCAACAGAACAUAAGCUCCACAACUGCAAGAACUUUUGUAUGUUUUAUUCACGAAUGUAUCUUCUGUGCCUGAAAUAGUCCCUGGCAAUAGUUUCCUAAUCAACAUACUGAAUGAAUAUAUAGAAUUUGCUUCUGCAUCUAUGCAACUCAGUGGGAGGGAGGGAAGUUUGGACCCCACAGUUCUUCCUAACUCCAGCCUCUGAUUCUCGAACCAGCCAGCCAAAGCUCAUUU
This is a long non-coding RNA of Equus asinus (donkey), 2152 nucleotides long. The record is from Ensembl. Lineage: Eukaryota; Metazoa; Chordata; Mammalia; Perissodactyla; Equidae.